Molecule: long non-coding RNA, 9581 nt
Organism: Syngnathus typhle (broad-nosed pipefish)
Lineage: Eukaryota; Metazoa; Chordata; Actinopteri; Syngnathiformes; Syngnathidae
Exons: 2
Source: RefSeq, a predicted model, not a curated record
UCGAUGCCAACUGUAGUGUAUUAUUAUUAUGAUAUCAUGCAAUGUUCAUCUCACUAGUAAGCCUAAGUAUGACCAGGGGCAUGUUCGGGUCAGGGUCUGUGGGAUUGUUUGAGGCUUGGGCCAGGAAGGUAGACUCAUUGGCGCCGGACACAUCUGGCUUCCAUUAACAAACUGAUAAGAUACACAGGAUGUAGAGAGGGGGGGCAACGGCGGGGUCAUAGGUCAGCCAACAGCCCCAUCUGCGCGCUCCCGCGUGGAGGGAAGCGCAAGAGUAUAAGGUUUAGGACGAGAGUAGACAAAGGGACUCGACAUCUUGGCUAGGGCGCGAGACACUUCUCUCUGACAUCGGUUGAAUAAAAUCUUUCCCCAAUCAGCCAUGUGUGACUGAAGUUUUCCUUCCCCAAGCCAGCCACUUUUUCACCAUCUUGUUUGGAAGACCAGCUGACCAUCGAAGAGAAUUCACCACAAUUUUGGCGUCACGAACAGUUCUCUUGUCCUUCGGGGAGCCCUCGCCCGCCUGGGUGCGAGCAUUGAGCGUCCGGCCGGCAGGCUGAGUUUGAGGUGAGAAGCUUUCACUCACAGUAUCGCAAUGUGCUCGUGCCUGGUGUGGGGGGGGAUGGAGUGGCUCCUAAGCGGGACAGUUAACGGGCCUGGUGUGCCAGUGGCUGGCAAAAAGGGGGGGGGGAUUUGUCUCCCCUAGCUGGAUGUCGACGAGAUGUGGAUUUUGAAAGGGGGGAGUAUAGCCCCAAUAGAAAAAUGAAAAUGUACAAAAAAAAAAUAAAAUAGAAAAAAAGAAAAAAGGCAAAUAAAAAUGGGAAAAUAGCAUAAAACUUAAUGGGGAAUGUGCACAACAGUGUGAGUGACAUGUCUGGUGUGAAUGAUGAAUGAGAAAGAAAAUGCUCCGAGAGAGGGCACGUGAAACAGGACAGGAUGUCUGGGACAUCGCUGAUCGGCUGUCACGAGAGAAGAAUAAUAGAAAGUCCCAUAAAACGUGGACUUUGUUUUGGCUACAGAUCCGAUGGAGGAUGGAAAUUUUAGCUGUGUGAUUGAGGCGGAAACACAGGUACGAUUGAACACUGUGUGCGACAAGAGACGGGCACCACCAAGCCACCGGAGGCAUAAUUUCCGGGGUCGUGCUGGGACGUUGAGAUCACACUCAAUGUAGUUGAGAUCACACUCAAUGUGGUCGAGAUGUCCGGUGGGGGCAUUUGUCUCUAUAUAUAGGUCGCACGAAAAAGGGAGGCUUGCUGCAGACCGCAAUUGGCAAAGCGGAGGAGUGCGCAGCCUUGGCAUCCGUAACUGUGUGAACGAAUGUGGGAAAUUUACCGGCUGGGUCUGGGACCAGGGUGCCGAGAAGGAUGAUGCGCGCAGACCACGUUAUUUGAGCACUGAUCAGAUUAGGAGUUUGUGCGGGUUGCAAGGUUCCCCCGGCUGACAGCUGGUGCGUUAGCCGCUUAGAGAGAUACUCUUCGGGCAACUUACCGGGGCGAACUGGUGCGCUGCGGUUGUACCCAAGUCGCCACGGUCCGAUUCCGAUUGGCGAGGCGCACUGUAAUAGCGCACACUCCUGUCAAAGUCUGAUAAAAUUUACGGCUUGCAGCAGACCGCAAUUGGCAGAGCGGAGGAGUGCGCAGCCGAUAGAAAUUGGAAAACGUGGAAAAAGAGGCCUCAGGGGGGUUAAUCUUGGUAUACCAUGUAAAAAAAAAAAAAAAAAAAAAAAAAAGUAAUUUGUGUGCACACUGAAGUUAAAAAUCUGCAGUAUAAGGGGAAAUGCAAAGCGCUCUUAGGGGAAACAAAGACAAGAAGUACAAAGGGCAUGUUUGUACGUGCACCUGCGCACGGUAAGAAGACACAAAAUGACCAAACCGCAUGGAAGCGGUUAGUGAGAAGCUACAUGAGAGAUGGAUUCGAAUCCCUUUGCCUGUGUUCUAUGUUGUGCGUAAUGUCUGUAAAGUUUCUGUCAGUUGUCGUCGUUCGUCUAAGCGGUGUGCGCGCUUGGUGUAUGGGGUGUGCGUGCGCGCGGAUGGGUGUGUGCAUGUGCGGUUGUGUGCGCGCUCGGUGUGUGUGCGUUUAUGUGCACACGCAUGGGAGACGGCAGUGAGAGAAGAGAGGAGGGGGCCCUGGGUGCUCCAAGGCGCGGAAUGGUGCUCUGACGGCAAAGGUGGGGGCCGGCGAGACGCGCGGGCCUGGCCAGCCCGUGGAGUCAACAUUGGUACGCUGACCCCCCCUUGUCCGAGGGCGCUGUGCCGAGGAGCCCGCAAAGGCGAGGCUGGGUCCCCCCGGUAGAGGUCAAUGUCGAUGAGAACUGAGACAUGACGAGGGGAGAUCAAAUGUGGAUGAGCAAAGGGUGCAUGAUUAACAAUGAACGUGCAUGAUUGAAACUGAAACUUCACUGGCACUAAUGUUGAACAGUUUGCAAAUAGGCAAGAGAGAGACAUGCUUGCAAUACUCACUAAAAUACUAAUGUUUGUGUACCUGUGUGUCUUAAGAAAAGAGUUGGGCCGUGGCAGCAGUGAUCUAUGGCAGGACGCUACACAUUCGGCCCAAGACCGAUAGGUGGGGGGAGAAAGUGAAGAAAGGGGGGUUCGCUCGUAAAUUAAGAGGGAGCCUGUUGAGGGCGGCCAGCGCCCCUAGUCCAUCUGACAACUAAUGAGAAAGUGAGUGAUUACGUUAACUUGAACGAGAUUGCUAUUUCUCCUGUUUGCAUAACAAAUACGAGACGGUGCACGCGCACGUCUCCUCCCAGAGGACAAAGAGACACGGACAGAACUCCCAGGUCGUCUGAGGAAAAGCUUCGUGGAGCGCUGCCCCCAAAUUCUUCACUAAUUUACGUCAGGACGCCACAAAUGCGGCCAGAGACAGAUAGAAAGAGGGAGUGAGAGAAGAAAGGGGGGGCUAACUCGUAAAUAAUGAGGAGAUAUUGGGAGUAAUCUAUUGGUCCUUUCUUUAACACCCUUUAAAUCAUUUCCUGGAGUAGAUAGGUUAGCAACACGAGGGAUUUAGAGGUUCAACAGAAAGACAGUUAAAAGACAAUAACAUUUUUGAUUUGAACAAUUGCAGGCUAACAGGAGCAUGAGAGAGGAGAGCUGAGAAGCGGGAUCCACUUUGAUCGAGGAGAUUGGAAAUUCACAGCACAUAUUCUAAGUCGCAUUUUUGAGCAAGCAUGACACAGGUAAUAACGCGUGAGAGAUCAAGACAUAGAUCAGGGCUAGUUGUGGGACGCAGACCUCGGAGUUAAUUUUGAAUAAUGAUACUGAAGACACAAUGUACUGUCCCAUUAAAUUGGAACUAUAGACAAAACGUAGCUCGACAAUAGGAUGAGUUGCAGGACUUACAAUAUAAAGACGACAUUGCUGUUACUAGGAGAAUUCGACUUUUGGUAAACAAACGUUACUAGUGAAUGGAGGGCAGCAGCUACAUUUGGAGAUAGCCUUACAAGUUUGGUGUCCCAGUCUGUCUCUCUCAGUGCCAGGAUCCCUGAAAACUCGACCCCGAGACUCCGCCUGCAGCCGCGGACGACUACAAGACGGUGCCUGGCUUUGAGGCACCUUUGACCUUUGGCAAGGACAAAGUAAGACUGUUGUUGUGCUUGGAGGGGGCAUGUACACUCCGGAGGAUAGACAACAUCCUCGGAGACGAGAAAAGACAGUGAGAAGUGGAGGAACUCACAAUGUUGAAGGAAAAAUGGACAUUUGAACAAUGGACUCAUUCGAGAGUGAUGGAUGUGUUGGCUCUGAAGCAACAACAAAAGGACACCAUCUUGAGAGGGUGAGGUGCGGCAGAAGAUAUGGACUUGAAAUGUCCGACGGCCAAAUCGCACUCCUGGCGGUGCUAAGACCUCGUGGGGCUUGGGUUAGAGUGGACAGGAGCUUCAUUGUGCACUGGGUUUGACAGAACUGAGGAGAUUUGAUAAAGGAUUGAAUAAUGCGUUGAGCUACAGAGAGAAGCAUCAUGGUCAGAGAUUGAACAGAUUUGAAUAAAACAAAUGGGCUAAAACGGUGAGAAACAAGAGCGAGAUCUGAUGUUUUGGCUCACCAGACAUGAGAAGUAGAAAUCGAGUUAGAUAAAUUUUAGAAUGGGACAUCUAGACCAGGGGUCCCCAAACUUUUUCCUGUGAGGGCCACAUAACCUUUCCCUUCUCUGAUGGCGGGCCGGUGGCAGUUUGUAACAGAAAAAGUGUGACGAUCGUAGGGGAGCUUAAAAAAAUUAUUGUUUUCCAGAAAGCCACACAUAACCAAAUAACGGUUAUUUAAUAACCCUUUCCAGGUUCUUUACAGAAAAAAAGUCAGGAAACAAAUAAUAACACUAUUAAUGAAAUAAAUAAUAACUAAACCCUCUCUGAGUUCUUCACAGAAAAAACAGGAAAUAAAUAACUAAAUAACUCUCUCUGGGUUCUUCAUAGAAAAAAAACCAUGGAACAUUAACUUUCUGUUGUGCCAUGCACAAUCUUAACAGAUAAAAGUUCAGCUCAGUUGUCAGAGCAGAACCUCUCUGACACAUAUGAGCAGUCUCUUAAAGUUCUUGUGUUCCUUCCUUAUAAUCCUUUUGUAGGUUCCAGUAGGCUUGUAGAUACUGCUGUCUUUUUUGUUAAAGUUUGAUAGUGCGUCAUAGUCUGGAGUAAAAUUUGUUGUGGCAAUUCUUAGGCGAGAUCCGAGGUGUUGGUCCGUUUACCUCGAUCUGUGACGGGUAGAUGUUGACGUUCAUGUGGCUGAACGUCACGUCGCGUACGUCGAGCCAAAUUGGCAACUCUUUUAAACGCUCGGCACUGUUCACCCUGCUUUACUUGGGCGACAUUUUAACGGAAGGAUUCCAGGGGAAGGUUUGUGGGUGGCUUUAGCGCAAAACUGCAUCUGAAAGCUCAGCGCGCAAAUUACAAGAAUGCUGUCGUCACAGCCCACGCUCUAAAUUCGGGACUGAUACAAAUAGAGCGCGAGUGCGCCAUGUCCGUACACGCACUUGUGAGUGUGCACCGAGCUUUCUGACACGGCUUCCGGUAGUAAAUGCGCAGGCGAGCGCUUCCCCAUCUACUGGGGAAACGCAGUCAUUGCAGGCAAAAUGAGCAAAAAAAAAAAAAAAAAGUUUAAUAAUACAAUUUAUUCAGGGUUGGCGGGCCGGAUUAAACGGUCCCGCGGGCCGUAUCCGGCCCGCGGGCCGUAGUUUGGUGACCCCUGAUCUAGACUAAAGUGGAUUCAGCCAAGAAGAAGCUAGGACGCUCGAUGUACCUACUCAAUACGAUAGAAGUUUGUUGCACCAUAGUGGAGGUUGGGUAGUCAGAAAGUUGGAUCCGUUAAAUUUUUGACUUUCACACAUUCAUGCAUAGGAGUCGCACAAGGCCACAGGUAACAAGAUAAUGACUGAGAUAGGGCUCAAAUUCAACUGCACCCACACGGCAAUGUAGAAGCAGGAGAGCGGAGUAAGGGAUUAUAUGAUAAACAGUCCGCUGUAGGGUUACCAAUAGGAGAUUCUGUCAAAAGAACUACUAAGAGGUGGAGGCGAAGAUAAUAGGAGGACGUAGAUAUUCGAAGGUCUGAUAAGGGAAAACUCCAUUGUCAAAGGUCGGAUUGGAGCAAGUAGGAAUUUGCCAUUUUAACAGGGAUUGACAGCAGGAGAGAUUGAGGAUAGAAGAUCUGGACAGCAAUGACGUAGGUUACAUUAAAAACUGCUCAUUCGAGGGAGAAGGCUCGGCGCUCCCUGUGUGGAGCUGCAGCUUUGCAGAAGGGGGGCAGACCGCGCGAGUGAGGAGUGGUGAUAGGCGACCACAAGGAAGUAGGGAGAGGUGUUGGAUGGUGUGACAGGCAGGAGUUUUAGGAAGAGGAAGAAAAGAAAAAGGGGGGAAUGAGACUCGCCAAGAGGGGCAAUAAAGAGAAGCAGACUGAGAAACAGUUUUGAGCAAGACAACGGGGAAAAAGGGGGAGAGCCAAAUGAUGACGUAAAAAGCCAGAGAGAAUAGUCUGACCCAUCUUUAUUGAAUUUAAUUAACAUAAGUAAUAGAGAUCGAGUUUGUAGGACCAAUACGAGGGCAUGGAGGCUCCCUCAAAACGCGGGUCCCACAGUUAGUCCCUCAGAUAGACAUAUAUGACAAUUUGCGAUGAAUCUGAUGGGCGAGUUUAUGGAAAAUUGAAUUGGAGAUUUUACAAUAGGUCAUGUUGACGAGUAUGUCCGAAUGUGAAGAGUCACUAUUAGGAGUCAAUAUUUGCCUACACACUAACAUACUAACUUUGCUUGGUUUGGGGGGAGAGCUGAGUGAUAGAGACGGAUGAGUGUGUCUGUGAGUGUGUGGAUGGGUGAGUGCGCAUGUGAUCAUCUACGGCUGUGUGUGCGCAGUAUGAUUGGCCAGAGAGGUCUGAAGUUGGAUGAUGUGUUUGCCAUUGAGGAUAAAAUUCCUCUCACCUGAAGGGGUGGUGCAGAUCGGAGGGACUGGAACUGGUAAGUGAUGAGUUCCGAUCGCAACCAUGGUUCAAUGAUCAAUCAGGGGCACCAUCGACAACCAAACGGUUCGAUGGAGAAGGCCCGUUUCUGUGAUAUGGUCAGACAAGACGGAACUAGUAUUGAACAUCAAGACUUUGGACGAUUUGACGUGUGACGACCUUGUGCUCACCCGACGGGGUGACGGACUAGGUGGACAGUGACCAAAUGUUUGACGCUUGGGCUUGCUUGCGACAUGAGCGAGCUCUGCUUUGUUUUUCUGUGUGACUUGAUUUUUUGCAGCAGCAGCAACGGCCGCCAGCCAAGGAGCGGAUUGCGCGCUGCUUGCGUAACUUGUUUUCGUUCUUGCAGGUUGUCAAUUGCGUUCGUGGAACGUUUGUGUUGAAUUUACGAGAGUAUGUUAACCCUUGCCCUUUUGGUUUUUAUAAUGAACUUGUUGAUUACAUGGUUUUCAGGACAGGAUCCCCGAGCGCCAGGAUUCAUUUUAUGACUGUUUUUGUUUUGAUACUUGAUGUCUGUUUUUGUGUGUACAAAUGUCCGCUGUCAGCAGGGCUAUAAGCUCACUGACAAGAGUGCGCUGAUUUUUGUGUGUGUUGCCGAGUGUGUGGUGGACAGUCAAGUUUCAGAGACUUGGGGUGACGGUCCCGGGGCCCAGAUGGAAGCUAGAGGUUCCGUGGGCCUGGCUACAAUGAGUGUGGUGAUGAGAGGGGACGCUUUGCUGGUUCCUUUUGAUACGUAAUGACACAUUAAGUGAAUGUGUCAAAAGGGGGGAGUGGUAGAACAGAAAGGGCUUUAACAGGACACGCCAGAAUUCAACUAGCAGUGAUGGAAGGAGCAGAAGAAGCAUCUUGAAAGAAAGGGAGUUAACGGGAGACAACAGCCUGGAAUGGAUGCGAAGCGUGGUAACAAUUUAGUGACAAUAAGGUUUAAGGUUUUUCAAUGACAAAGUGCGAAGGACAAAUCAUACAGUGAUUUGGGAAUGGACAGUGGCACAAUACACAACGAAAGUUUGGAAGGUUAUUGAAUGUGAGGAAGACGGGGCCAGAGACAAGGAAGGGGGAAAUUUCUGAACGCGUGACUGCAUUAAAGCUGCUAUUACAGGGCAAAUGUUUAAUUAUACAUUUUAGGACGAGUAGUUUGCAUAACGAAUACGGAGAGGAUUUGAGUGGCUGUACCGUUUUGGAAAGAUUACGUGAGCGUUGUUUCAGAAUGAUGACUGGUUUGAACAGUGAGGUGGCUCGAACAUAAGGCACGGAUACAUAAAGGUAGGAAACUACAGUAUUGUGAGGGGUACCGGUUUGAGAAUGCUACACAUCUUUAGACUGAAGAAGGAAUUUGGGGGUGACAAAUAGUAUUUGGACGGGAAAAAGAGCGGCUGAAGUGACAUGACUGACGGGACUUCAGAAAGAUGACAGUGUGAUUGAGACAGUGACACCUGCGACAGGAAAGGCUACCAGGAACAGGUAGAAUUUACAUUGUGACUGGGGGGAUCUAGCAACGCUGUCGGCACGACGAGAAAUGAGGGGAAUGAGUCCUGGAGUGUUUGCUUGUUUGUUUGCUUGUUUGUUUGUUUGUUUGUUUGUUUGUUUGUUUCAGGGACCGCGUGGGCCUCUGGAAACGAGGGGUAGGUGUCGGGAGCCCUCGGGCGUUCUGAUGAGAUUUUGAUGAGACGAUUGACACAGCUUUUUCCUCGUUGCCCCAUCACCGCCAAAUAAUUAUUUGAGGGGGCUGGAAACACUGGAGCUAUCGGGUUGUGUUGCCCUGCCAGCGGUGGCCGUCGGGGCCGGAAGGACGUCCGGCCUGGGCUGCUACCUUUGACAUUAUGACUCCACAUGUUCGCACUGUUAAAGUCACUCGAUACAGACAGUAGCUUUAGCUUGUCAUAGGUCGCCUGGCUGCUGACCGGGGCCUUGCACGGGAUUCAACGGCCAUCAUAAGCAACAGGAGGACACUGAACGGACAGCCGGCCCGGGACGGUGCCGUCUACUACUAGUGCUAUUUUCCACUGACGGAUCAGGGGACUGGAUUUCAUAUCUGCACGCACUUGUGCAUGCGAGGGGGGCAGCGCAACAACGGGUUUAAUGUUCUUGCAUGCUUUGACGAUUCGUUUUUAUAUACCUCACUGUGUUACCUCGUUGUUUUUGCCAUGUGGUUUACUUUAUUAUGUGACCUCAUUUGCUUGCCCCGUGGCAUGUUUACGAUACGACGUUGCAUGUUGAGCGAUCUGUAUUUGAGGGUCAUGGUUCUGCUUGUUGCUGUGUUUAGGGCUCAUGCUACGCUUUGUGAAAUGUGGUGUGUGCCGGAGCUCCCUUCACCUGACUCUCGCCAGGUGAGAGGCGCCUCCGGGGGCGUAGAAUGGGCCUCCCUCUUUUUCCUCGUCAUUAGAUUGGCGGGGUUUUUUCGACGGCGGUCCGGCAACUUUUUGGGGCUUCUAACGGGCCACAGCAAACUUUUCCUCUCCAAAUUGGUGGCGCUGGUGAUAUAUUACCUAAGGGGGGUGUGCGGACGGCGUCAAUCAGUUAAUGGGGUUGGGGGAUUCGAUCUUGGUCAAAUGUGGUUCCUGAGAGGCCUCAGAUUGCUGUCAGGGAGGAAUUUGCUAUUAAAUUAGGUUGAGCUUUCCUAGUUAAUGUAACCUUAAGUAGCAUGCCUUGAGCAUGGUUUAGGAUGAGACAAAUAGGUCCAAAUUGUAGACGAAAACCAUAAAAUGGUUGGGGGAAGGUUUUUGGAUGUACCGAUGUCUUUUCGUGUUGAGUUGUUGCCGGGGCACUUGUGGUACCCCGGCAGGGGGGAUUAUGUAGUGUAUUAUUAUUAUGAUAUCAUGCAAUGUUCAUCUCACUAGUAAGCCUAAGUAUGACCAGGGGCAUGUUCGGGUCAGGGUCUGUGGGAUUGUUUGAGGCUUGGGCCAGGAAGGUAGACUCAUUGGCGCCGGACACAUCUGGCUUCCAUUAACAAACUGAUAAGAUACACAGGAUGUAGAGAGGGGGGGCAACGGCGGGGUCAUAGGUCAGCCAACAGCCCCAUCUGCGCGCUCCCGCGUGGAGGGAAGCGCAAGAGUAUAAGGUUUAGGACGAGAGUAGACAAAGGGACUCGACAUCUUGGCUAGGGCGCGAGACACUUCUCUCUGACAUCGGUUGAAUAAAAUCUUUCCCCAAUCA